CCUACGGGUGGCUGCAGUGGGGAAUAUUGGACAAUGGGCGAAAGUCUGAUCCAGCCAUGCCGCGUGUGUGAAGAAGGCCUUCGGGUUGUAAAGCACUUUCAGUGGGGAAGAAAGCCUUGGGGCUAAUACCCUCGAGGAAGGACAUCACCCACAGAAGAAGCACCGGCUAACUCCGUGCCAGCAGCCGCGGUAAUACGGAGGGUGCGAGCGUUAAUCGGAAUUACUGGGCGUAAAGCGAGCGUAGGCGGUCUGAUAAGCCGGUUGCGAAAGCCCCGGGCUCAACCUGGGAACGGCAUCCGGAACUGUCAGGCUAGAGUGCAGGAGAGGAAGGUAGAAUUCCCGGUGUAGCGGUGAAAUGCGUAGAGAUCGGGAGGAAUACCAGUGGCGAAGGCGGCCUUCUGGACUGACACUGACGCUGAGGUGCGAAAGCGUGGGUAGCAAACAGGAUUAGAUACCCGAGUAGUC
Molecule: ribosomal RNA, 465 nt
Filed under: Vreelandella stevensii
Lineage: Bacteria; Pseudomonadati; Pseudomonadota; Gammaproteobacteria; Oceanospirillales; Halomonadaceae
Description: partial 16S ribosomal RNA
Rfam family: Bacterial small subunit ribosomal RNA
Source: RNAcentral